GGGGGCGAAUUGGUUUCGACGGGGAUGAGGAUGGUGUUUUUGCACGUCGAGGUUAUCGGUCACCUCGCUAAUCAACCGGUAAAAAAAAGAAAUGCAAACUAUAAUUAUGCAUUGGCCGCUUAAGUAAUAUUAAGCGACCCGUCUGCCGCAGGUGAGCCCGUAACUUGCGGAUGUGGCGUCGAUUUAGCGGGAUAAGCCCGAGGCCCUCCCCGAGCUUCAGGACUAAAACCGCAGGGGAUGGCGGAUUCGAAAGCCUGCCUAUCGGCGUUCGGAUUCGCGAGAUUAAACGAUAGGAUAAACGUGUAGACGAAGCUCAGGAAUUAUCUUCGGACGCGGGUUCGAUUCCCGCCGCCUCCAUAU
RNAcentral lists this transfer-messenger RNA (360 nucleotides) under bacterium. RNAcentral's name for it is "UM-FILTER-46-8 sp002791595 Standard tmRNA". It matches the Rfam family "transfer-messenger RNA". Rfam says of the family: Bacterial tmRNA, also known as 10Sa RNA or SsrA, is named for its dual tRNA and mRNA-like properties. Its role is to liberate the mRNA from a stalled ribosome. To accomplish this part of the tmRNA is used as a reading frame that ends in a translation stop signal. The record is from RNAcentral. RNAcentral also lists the same sequence under 1 other name.